GGGGGAUAACCGUUCCGAAAGGAGGGCUAAUACCGCAUACGAUCCUGGGGCAUCAGUCUCAGGAUGAAAGGCAGCCCGCAAGGGCUGACGCUACUUGAUGAGCCCAUGUCCCAUCAGCUUGUUGGUAGGGUAACGGCCUACCAAGGCAAUGACGGGUAGCUGGUCUGAGAGGACGACCAGCCACACUGGCACUGCGACACGGGCCAGACUCCUACGGGAGGCAGCAGUGAGGAAUCUUGCGCAAUGGGCGAAAGCCUGACGCAGCGACGCCGCGUGGGGGAUGAAGGCCUUCGGGUUGUAAACCCCUUUUAGGAGGGAAGAAUUCCGGUAGGUGAAUAUCCUGCCGGGUUGACGGUACCUCCAGAAAAAGCCACGGCUAACUCUGUG
This 387-nucleotide ribosomal RNA is filed under the name uncultured bacterium. RNAcentral describes it as "bacterial SSU rRNA". It matches the Rfam family "Bacterial small subunit ribosomal RNA", at positions 138 to 507 of the family's 1533-position model. The record is from RNAcentral.